CCUACGGGGGGCAGCAGUGGGGAAUAUUGGACAAUGGGGGGAACCCUGAUCCAGCCAUGCCGCGUGUGUGAAGAAGGCCCUCGGGUUGUAAAGCACUUUCAGUGAGGAAGAACGCCUGGUGGUUAAUACCCAUCAGGAAAGACAUCACUCACAGAAGAAGCACCGGCUAACUCCGUGCCAGCAGCCGCGGUAAUACGGAGGGUGCGAGCGUUAAUCGGAAUUACUGGGCGUAAAGCGCGCGUAGGUGGCUUGAUAAGCCGGUUGUGAAAGCCCCGGGCUCAACCUGGGAACGGCAUCCGGAACUGUCAAGCUAGAGUGCAGGUGAGGAAGGUAGAAUUCCCGGUGUAGCGGUGAAAUGCGUAGAGAUCGGGAGGAAUACCAGUGGCGAAGGCGGCCUUCUGGACUGACACUGACACUGAGGUGCGAAAGCGUGGGUAGCAAACAGGAUUAGAUACCCUAGUAGUC
Molecule: ribosomal RNA, 465 nt
Filed under: Vreelandella stevensii
Lineage: Bacteria; Pseudomonadati; Pseudomonadota; Gammaproteobacteria; Oceanospirillales; Halomonadaceae
Description: partial 16S ribosomal RNA
Rfam family: Bacterial small subunit ribosomal RNA
Source: RNAcentral